RNAcentral lists this ribosomal RNA (377 nucleotides) under uncultured bacterium. RNAcentral describes it as "bacterial SSU rRNA". It matches the Rfam family "Bacterial small subunit ribosomal RNA", at positions 523 to 898 of the family's 1533-position model. The record is from RNAcentral.
AUACGGAGGGUGCGAGCGUUGUUCGGAAUUAUUGGGCGUAAAGCGCGUGUAGGCGGUCUUUUAAGUCUGAUGUGAAAGCCCCGGGCUCAACCUGGGAAGUGCAUUGGAAACUGGGAGACUUGAAUACGGGAGAGGGUAGUGGAAUUCCUAGUGUAGGAGUGAAAUCCGUAGAUAUUAGGAGGAACACCGGUGGCGAAGGCGGCUACCUGGACCGAUAUUGACGCUGAGACGCGAAAGCGUGGGGAGCAAACAGGAUUAGAUACCCUGGUAGUCCACGCCGUAAACGAUGAGUACUAGGUGUUGCGGGUAUUGACCCCUGCAGUGCCGCAGUUAACGCAUUAAGUACUCCGCCUGGGAAGUACGGUCGCAAGACUAAA